This 117-nucleotide non-coding RNA is filed under the name Pan paniscus (pygmy chimpanzee). RNAcentral also lists the same sequence under 1 other name. The record is from Rfam by way of RNAcentral. Lineage: Eukaryota; Metazoa; Chordata; Mammalia; Primates; Hominidae.
GCCAGGUGUGGUGGCUCACGCCUGUAAUCCCAGCACUUUGGGAGGCUGAGGCGGGCGGAUCUCCUGAGGUCAGGAGUUCAAGACCAGCCUGGCCAACAUGGUGAAACCCCGUCUCUA